RNAcentral lists this ribosomal RNA (721 nucleotides) under uncultured Verrucomicrobiota bacterium. RNAcentral describes it as "bacterial SSU rRNA". It matches the Rfam family "Bacterial small subunit ribosomal RNA", at positions 61 to 760 of the family's 1533-position model. The record is from RNAcentral. Lineage: Bacteria; Pseudomonadati; Verrucomicrobiota.
GUCGAACGGGAUUUUUUCCUGUAGCAAUACAGGAAAAAGUCUAGUGGCGAACGGGUGCGUAACACGUGAGCAACCUGCCGUGAAGUGGGGGAUAGCUCGCCGAAAGGCGAAUUAAUACCGCAUGUGGCCAAGGAAGACAUCUUCCUGACGCCAAAGCCGGGGUAACCUGGCGCUUCUCGAGGGGCUCGCGGCCUAUCAGCUUGUUGGUGAGGUAACGGCUCACCAAGGCUAUGACGGGUAGCUGGUCUGAGAGGACGACCAGCCACACUGGAACUGAGACACGGUCCAGACACCUACGGGUGGCAGCAGUCGAGAAUUUUUCACAAUGGGGGAAACCCUGAUGGAGCGACGCCGCGUGGAGGAUGAAGGUUUUCGGAUUGUAAACUCCUGUCAUUAGAGAACAAGGCACAUGGUUUAACUGGCCGUGUGUUGAUAGUAUCUGAAGAGGAAGGGACGGCUAACUCUGUGCCAGCAGCCGCGGUAAUACAGAGGUCUCAAGCGUUGUUCGGAUUCAUUGGGCGUAAAGGGUGCGUAGGUGGCGAGGUAAGUCGGAUGUGAAAUCUCCAAGCUCAACUUGGAAACUGCAUUCGAUACUGCUUUGCUAGAGGAUUGUAGAGGGCAUUGGAAUUCACGGUGUAGCAGUGAAAUGCGUAGAUAUCGUGAGGAAGACCAGUGGCGAAGGCGAAUGCCUGGGCAAUUCCUGACACUGAGGCACGAAGGC